GGUUGAGUGGUGUAGUGGUAACACGCUGACUUGCAAUACAUUAUUUCUUGGAGGUGGUUCCUUGGUACCUAUCACGGGCUUAUCCUGGGCUAUCACGGGUCUUAUCUGCACUAUAGUCAGAACCGGAGGUUCGAAUCCUCCUUCGACCG
This is a non-coding RNA of Pestalotiopsis sp. 9143b, 149 nucleotides long. The record is from the annotation of a GenBank genome assembly. Lineage: Eukaryota; Fungi; Ascomycota; Sordariomycetes; Amphisphaeriales; Sporocadaceae.